This 383-nucleotide ribosomal RNA is filed under the name uncultured eukaryote. RNAcentral describes it as "partial 18S ribosomal RNA". It matches the Rfam family "Eukaryotic small subunit ribosomal RNA", at positions 592 to 976 of the family's 1831-position model. The record is from RNAcentral.
CAAUAGCGUAUAUUAAAGUUGUUGCAGUUAAAAAGCUCGUAGUUGGAUUUGUGGUGUGUCCAGUCGGCCUUUGCUCUCUGAGUGAUUGUGCUGUACUGGUCUGCCAUGGUUGGGUGGAAUCUGUGUGGCAUUAAGUUGUCGUGCAGGGGAUGCCCAUCGUUUACUGUGAAAAAAUUAGAGUGUUCAAAGCAGGCUUAUGCCGUUGAAUAUAUUAGCAUGGAAUAAUGAUAUAGGACCUUGGUACUAUUUUGUUGGUUUGCGCACUAAGGUAAUGAUUAAGAGGGACAGUUGGGGGUAUUUGUAUUCCAUUGUCAGAGGUGAAAUUCUUAGAUUUUUGGAAGACAAACUACUGCGAAAGCAUUUACCAAGGAUGUUUUCAUUAA